Molecule: ribosomal RNA, 1534 nt
Filed under: Phocaeicola vulgatus
Lineage: Bacteria; Pseudomonadati; Bacteroidota; Bacteroidia; Bacteroidales; Bacteroidaceae
Also listed under: 1 other name
Description: bacterial SSU rRNA
Rfam family: Bacterial small subunit ribosomal RNA
Source: RNAcentral
UAUUACAAUGAAGAGUUUGAUCCUGGCUCAGGAUGAACGCUAGCUACAGGCUUAACACAUGCAAGUCGAGGGGCAGCAUGGUCUUAGCUUGCUAAGGCCGAUGGCGACCGGCGCACGGGUGAGUAACACGUAUCCAACCUGCCGUCUACUCUUGGACAGCCUUCUGAAAGGAAGAUUAAUACAAGAUGGCAUCAUGAGUCCGCAUGUUCACAUGAUUAAAGGUAUUCCGGUAGACGAUGGGGAUGCGUUCCAUUAGAUAGUAGGCGGGGUAACGGCCCACCUAGUCUUCGAUGGAUAGGGGUUCUGAGAGGAAGGUCCCCCACAUUGGAACUGAGACACGGUCCAAACUCCUACGGGAGGCAGCAGUGAGGAAUAUUGGUCAAUGGGCGAGAGCCUGAACCAGCCAAGUAGCGUGAAGGAUGACUGCCCUAUGGGUUGUAAACUUCUUUUAUAAAGGAAUAAAGUCGGGUAUGCAUACCCGUUUGCAUGUACUUUAUGAAUAAGGAUCGGCUAACUCCGUGCCAGCAGCCGCGGUAAUACGGAGGAUCCGAGCGUUAUCCGGAUUUAUUGGGUUUAAAGGGAGCGUAGAUGGAUGUUUAAGUCAGUUGUGAAAGUUUGCGGCUCAACCGUAAAAUUGCAGUUGAUACUGGAUAUCUUGAGUGCAGUUGAGGCAGGCGGAAUUCGUGGUGUAGCGGUGAAAUGCUUAGAUAUCACGAAGAACUCCGAUUGCGAAGGCAGCCUGCUAAGCUGCAACUGACAUUGAGGCUCGAAAGUGUGGGUAUCAAACAGGAUUAGAUACCCUGGUAGUCCACACGGUAAACGAUGAAUACUCGCUGUUUGCGAUAUACGGCAAGCGGCCAAGCGAAAGCGUUAAGUAUUCCACCUGGGGAGUACGCCGGCAACGGUGAAACUCAAAGGAAUUGACGGGGGCCCGCACAAGCGGAGGAACAUGUGGUUUAAUUCGAUGAUACGCGAGGAACCUUACCCGGGCUUAAAUUGCAGAUGAAUUACGGUGAAAGCCGUAAGCCGCAAGGCAUCUGUGAAGGUGCUGCAUGGUUGUCGUCAGCUCGUGCCGUGAGGUGUCGGCUUAAGUGCCAUAACGAGCGCAACCCUUGUUGUCAGUUACUAACAGGUUCCGCUGAGGACUCUGACAAGACUGCCAUCGUAAGAUGUGAGGAAGGUGGGGAUGACGUCAAAUCAGCACGGCCCUUACGUCCGGGGCUACACACGUGUUACAAUGGGGGGUACAGAGGGCCGCUACCACGCGAGUGGAUGCCAAUCCCCAAAACCUCUCUCAGUUCGGACUGGAGUCUGCAACCCGACUCCACGAAGCUGGAUUCGCUAGUAAUCGCGCAUCAGCCACGGCGCGGUGAAUACGUUCCCGGGCCUUGUACACACCGCCCGUCAAGCCAUGGGAGCCGGGGGUACCUGAAGUGCGUAACCGCGAGGAGCGCCCUAGGGUAAAACUGGUGACUGGGGCUAAGUCGUAACAAGGUAGCCGUACCGGAAGGUGCGGCUGGAACACCUCCUUUCU